This 445-nucleotide ribosomal RNA is filed under the name uncultured bacterium. Its description in RNAcentral is "partial 16S ribosomal RNA". It matches the Rfam family "Bacterial small subunit ribosomal RNA", at positions 354 to 796 of the family's 1533-position model. The record is from RNAcentral.
GUGAGGAAUAUUGGUCAAUGGGCGAGAGCCUGAACCAGCCAAGUCGCGUGAAGGAUGAAGGUUUUAUGAAUUGUAAACUUCUUUUGCAGGGGAAUAAAGUACGGUACGUGUACCGUUUUGUAUGUACUCUGCGAAUAAGGAUCGGCUAACUCCGUGCCAGCAGCCGCGGUAAUCCGGAGGAUCCAAGCGUUAUCCGGAUUUAUUGGGUUUAAAGGGUGCGCAGGCGGGUUGAUAAGUCAGCGGUGAAAGUUUGCAGCUUAACUGUAAAAUUGCCGUUGAAACUGUCGAUCUUGAGUGCAAAUGAGGUAAGCGGAAUGUGUUGUGUAGCGGUGAAAUGCGUAGAUAUAACACAGAACACCGAUUGCGAAGGCAGCUUACUGGGAUGCAACUGACGCUCAUGCACGAAAGCGUGGGGAUCAAACAGGAUUAGAUACCCUAGUAGUCC